UGAGCAUGUGUAGGUAAGAGGACAACUUUUGGAAGUGGGGAAUUUGUGGAGGCCCAAACUCCUCAGGGUCAGAGAAUCUGAGCUUGCUUUAUCCACCAGGGCUGCAUAUGGGAAUGAUUUGACCAUGGGCACGGUUACCAGGUGUUUGGAAGGGUCUACACUUGGCUGUGCAGUGUGCUU
Molecule: non-coding RNA, 180 nt
Organism: Peromyscus maniculatus bairdii (prairie deer mouse)
Lineage: Eukaryota; Metazoa; Chordata; Mammalia; Rodentia; Cricetidae
Source: RefSeq, a predicted model, not a curated record